This 23-nucleotide non-coding RNA is filed under the name Cricetulus griseus (Chinese hamster). The record is from RNAcentral. Lineage: Eukaryota; Metazoa; Chordata; Mammalia; Rodentia; Cricetidae.
GAAGUUUCUGGGGGGAAAGCUGG